This 446-nucleotide ribosomal RNA is filed under the name uncultured bacterium. RNAcentral describes it as "partial 16S ribosomal RNA". It matches the Rfam family "Bacterial small subunit ribosomal RNA", at positions 354 to 796 of the family's 1533-position model. The record is from RNAcentral.
GUGAAGAAUAUUGGUCAAUGGGCGCAAGCCUGAACCAGCCAUCCCGCGUGCAGGAAGACGGCGCUAUGCGUUGUAAACUGCUUUUCCAGGGGGAGAAACUUGCGCACGUGUUGCGCAAUUGACGGUACCCUGGGAAUAAGCAUCGGCUAACUCCGUGCCAGCAGCCGCGGUAAUACGGAGGAUGCGAGCGUUAUCCGGAUUCAUUGGGUUUAAAGGGUGCGUAGGCGGACUAUUAAGUCAGUGGUGAAAUCCUGCAGCUUAACUGCAGAACUGCCAUUGAUACUGAUAGCCUUGAGUUUGGUUAAGGUAGGCGGAAUGUGUAAUGUAGCGGUGAAAUGCUUAGAUAUUACACAGAACACCAAUUGCGUAGGCAGCUUACUGAGCCGACACUGACGCUGAGGCACGAAAGCGUGGGGAUCGAACAGGAUUAGAUACCCUAGUAGUCC